AGAGAGAGAGAGAGAGAGAGAGAGAGAGAGAGAGAGAGAGAGGAAGGGAAGAGAAAAGCCAGCGGAGGGAGCAGAGACAAAGCAUGAUGGAGGAAGGGAAGUGUGCUCGGCAGCAUGUGGACCAUGUGUUCAGCAUGUAACUGCGGAGUGUCGCGCCAUGGAAAGGUGUCUGCAACCCCGGGCUCCCUCCUGCACGACUCUUGGCGUUUGCAACAGCAAUGGGCGGAGGAAGAAAACUCGAGUCCGGAGACAGACAACCACAAGAAGCUGAAAUUGCCAAGGUGAAGAUGAUUGACAAGGUGAAGAUGAUUGACAAGGUGGAGAUGAUUGACAAGGUGGAGAUGAUUGACAAGGUGGAGAUGAUUGACAAGGUGGAGAUGAUUGACAUUGGUCAUCCAUUCUUCUACCGGUAAGAUAUUGGUAUUUCUAUCUGUUAUACAGAGCUUCUAGAGGAAUGACGUUUUCCUGUGUGUCCAGGCCCUCCGAUGUAGACCCAAACAUCUUGAUUGCUAAAAACUAUACCUGUUAUAGAUUUUGCUAUUGUCUUCAAAGAGGGAAAAUUCCUGUGGAAGUACUGUACCAGUCUAGCUCUCUCCCUAUACAUUCUGACUAUAGUCAGACACUUUCACUUGGUGACUUUCUGUAUAUAUUUAGUGAAUUAGUUGACAAUUUCUGCAGUUUUGGGUCGAGGAUGUUCAAUGUCUAAUUCAGUCCAAGGGCUGCACUUACAUUCAGAGGAUCCCCUACUCAUUCUCUCAUUAUCUCAAUUCUCUGUGUUCUCAUUCUCUCAUUCUCCCAUUAUUUCAUUAUUUCAUUCU
This is a long non-coding RNA of Salvelinus namaycush (lake trout), 818 nucleotides long. RefSeq lists it as uncharacterized. The record is from RefSeq and is a predicted model, not a curated record. The transcript is spliced from 3 exons. NCBI's taxonomy places the organism in Eukaryota, Metazoa, Chordata, Actinopteri, Salmoniformes, Salmonidae.